This 620-nucleotide ribosomal RNA is filed under the name Ramaria sp. OSC 111769. Its description in RNAcentral is "eukaryotic LSU rRNA". The stretch from base 255 to 409 matches the Rfam family "5.8S ribosomal RNA". The record is from RNAcentral. Lineage: Eukaryota; Fungi; Basidiomycota; Agaricomycetes; Gomphales; Gomphaceae.
UUCGUAGGUGACCUGCGGAGGAUCAUUACCGUACGAUUAGGAGGUUGGAUGCUGGCCCGUGAGGGCAAGUGCGCGCCUUUGUUUUUUUUUGGAANCCCNUANANACCNGGGNACCNANGGGGAGNGCCNUCCGNUUGGANCCNNCNGGGGCGNAACCCCNUUCNUGGGGGGGGCGGGCCGGGCCGAGGCGCUCCCUCUUUACAUUACAACCCCGUCUUAACUCGCAUGUCUUUGAAGCUUAAUAAAGCAGUGACAACUUUCAACAACGGAUCUCUUGGCUUUCGCAUCGAUGAAGAACGCCGCGAAAGUGCGAAACGUAAUGUGAAUUGCAGAAUUCAGUGAAUCAUCGAAUCUUUGAACGCAUCUUGCGCUCCUUGGUAUUCCGAGGAGCAUGCCUGUUUGAGUGUCGUGAACUCCCUCGACCCUUCUUUAUCAAGAAGGGUUGGAUUUGGACGCUUGCGGCGGAUCCUUUUCUCGUCGCUCGUCUUUAAAUGCAUCGGGCUGGCCUUUCCUUUUUCUUUUAGAGUCGGUUCGACGACGGUGUGAUAAACAAAGCGCCGUUCGGGGGCCGACUUUUGAAAUUCCGGGAGGGGUCGCUUAUAGCCGUCUUCGGACAAAAA